UUUAAAUGGCCGCAGUAUAUUAACUGUGCAAAGGUAGCAUAAUCAUUAGUCUUUUAAUUGAAGGCUGGUAUGAAUGGUUGGACGAGAUAUUAACUGUUUCAUAAAAAUUUAUAAUAGAAUUUUAUUUUUUAGUCAAAAAGCUAAAAUUUAUUUAAAAGACGAGAAGACCCUAUAAAUCUUUAUAUUUAAUUUAUUAUGAUUUUAUAGAUUAUUUUUGUUAUAAUAAUUAAUAAUAUUUUAUUGGGGUGAUAUUAAAAUUUAAUAAACUUUUAAUUAUUAAAAUCAUUAAUUAAUGAGUAAUUGAUCCGUUAAUAACGAUUAAAAAAUUAAGUUACUUUAGGGAUAACAGCGUAAUUUUUUUGGAGAGUUCAUAUCGAUAAAAAAGAUUGCGACCUCGAUGUUGGAUUAAGAGAUAUAUUUAGGUGUAGCUG
This 431-nucleotide ribosomal RNA is filed under the name Morellia hortorum. RNAcentral's name for it is "partial 16S ribosomal RNA". The record is from RNAcentral. Lineage: Eukaryota; Metazoa; Arthropoda; Insecta; Diptera; Muscidae.